GAGGCUUCCUUGGCAGCUCCAUGGGGACUCUCAUUCCUUCGUAGCCCAGGGUUUCAAGCCACCACAUUGUGCCUAAAUCCCGUGUGAAGAGACAUCAAGGGCAGGAGAUGGUGUUUUUCCUACCAAGUGUUGGCACUGAACUCCUGCCCAGGGUGCGAGGGGACUUGGAAAGCAUCUUGUUUGGCAUCAGAGUAUUUCACCAUUGCAGCAUCGAGGGCCUCUGCCUGCCAACUUUGGGGGCUCUAGACGUUCAUGGCAAGCGCCUUCUGCCAGGUAGGAGAGGCAGAGACACAUUUCUUGUACUUCUGGGAGACCUUGAUGAUUUGGGGCUCCCAGUAAAACUUUCUUUAAACUGUAGGAAACACAGCCAUAGCUGUAUUCCUCUAAAGCAGAGAAAUCUUUUAGUUUUGAAAACGGCUGCAUGCACCUACAGGCUGUGUCCACGUUGUGGCGAUAAAGAACCAUCCUUCGGGAAUGAUUCAAGACUUCUCCACCGGGUGGUGAUAAAGNGCUCUGCUUGGCCCAAAAGUGUCUCAGCUGGUUACUCUGCCGCAUUGGANGCCCUGGGGCAGUUCUCAUUUCCUCUGAGCGAAAAAGUCCAAAAUCUGCUGGGGGGCACCCAGGAUUGUGAGGAAGGUCUUGGAGUACGUGGCAGCUUUCCUGAUUUUACAAGAAUUCUUCUUGUAAAACUAAUAACAAAGGUUCAGAAAAGGGCAAUCAGAAUGAUCAAACUGCUGGAACACCUUCCUUAUGAAAUCAGGCUGCAACAUCUUGGCCUCUUCAGCCUUGGAAAAUGGCAUUUAAGAAAAACUCCCUAGACAAAUAAGAGUAGGGCACUUUCCACACACACACUCUUAACAUGGUAUAGCAAAGUAUCUGUGGGCCUCCAUGUUGCUCAUUAGUGUGCAAUGAGGGGACCUGUACUCCUCCUAGUACAUUCUNUACAUCCAGGUUGAUGUGUAGAUCAGGAAAGGGCACCCAAAAUAGUGCCCUAAUUUAGUCUUCCAGUAUGCCUCAAUGUUCAGGUCUACCAAAGUACUAGGC
This 1044-nucleotide long non-coding RNA is filed under the name Salvator merianae (Argentine black and white tegu). RNAcentral describes it as "lncRNA (ENSSMRG00000013672.1)". The record is from RNAcentral. Lineage: Eukaryota; Metazoa; Chordata; Lepidosauria; Squamata; Teiidae.